AGCUGAUAACGUCAGCCGCGGGUAACCGCCGGGAAAGUGCAACAGAAAUAAACCGCCGCGCAAGCGGUAAGGAUGGAAAGGCGAGGUAAGAGCUCACCCACUCCUAUGGUAACAUAGGUUUGCUGUAAACCCUACCCAAAGCAACACCGUUCGGGGCAUGUCUGCCCGACAGCCGCAAGGACCCGAUGGGUGGCACGGACGCGAAAGCGUUCGGAGCUUUCUGGUGACAGAGAGCAAAGAUAGAUGGCCGUUCUCGACAGAACCCGGCUUAUAGGCAAGACUGCAAA
Molecule: RNase P RNA, 287 nt
Filed under: Clostridia bacterium
Lineage: Bacteria; Bacillati; Bacillota; Clostridia
Description: partial RNase P RNA component class A
Rfam family: Bacterial RNase P class A
About the family: Ribonuclease P (RNase P) is a ubiquitous endoribonuclease, found in archaea, bacteria and eukarya as well as chloroplasts and mitochondria.
Source: RNAcentral